GGAGGUAUAGCUUGGUGGUAGAGCACGUGCUUGGUGUGCAUGGGAUCCUGGUUUCAAUCCCCAGUGCCUCUG
This 72-nucleotide transfer RNA is filed under the name Camelus bactrianus (Bactrian camel). It matches the Rfam family "tRNA". From Rfam's summary of the family: Transfer RNA (tRNA) molecules are approximately 80 nucleotides in length. Their secondary structure includes four short double-helical elements and three loops (D, anti-codon, and T loops). RNAcentral also lists the same sequence under 2 other names. Lineage: Eukaryota; Metazoa; Chordata; Mammalia; Artiodactyla; Camelidae. The record is from Rfam by way of RNAcentral.